GGGGAUUGUUACUAAGUCUCUUUCAAAAACCAGGACAACGCGUUCCUAACCAAAGCGGUCCUAGGUUUAAAAGCCUUAAGCCCGAAGUUGCUCCUCUCGCUAGGGAGAAGGCACGCUGGCGCGGGCACGCACACGCGGACACACACACACACACACACACACACACACACACGCGCGCGCCCGCGCGCCCGUCCACACCCCCUUCCGUGUGACUCGCCUUCGGGAUUUAUGGGCUUCGCCACCACGGAUUACUCUCAGGUGCAGAAGCAGAGACAGCCCUGGAGCAGGGGCCCAGAGAGAGCGAAUCGGCGGCCUGGGACCGUCGAGGCAAGGAGGACUCCUCGGACAGGGCGCAUUCUCGGCGUGCUAGUGCAGCGAGGCUUUAGGCAGAGCCGGAGCCUCCCAGCCACCUCCGCAGAAAAACCCGGGCCCAGGCCCCUCUGUCCUCCCCUAGCGAGCGGGCGCAGUGCGCUUUGCUUUGCUGUCCCCCCCUCCCCCCCCGCAAGGCCCGCGGCCGAGCUCCGGCCACCUGCAGCGCAGCCAGCCGCAGUCUUGGCCCCUUCUAGGACCUGGAGCUGGAUGAGCAGCAGCCUGGGCGAAGAAUUUAAGGGGGUGGGGCGCGCCGAAAGGUCAACAAUCACAAUAAGUAUCUUACUGCAAUGCUUUAAAAAAUUAAUACAAAAACCCCAUAAUGAACAUGUUAAAUUUUAUAAAUAAAAACAGGACCAUUGCAUGCCUUACUGAUAUAUUUUGAGACCGCAGGCAAAAAGAAUCCCCACGGACAAGCGGCGCCCAGCACAGACGACCGGACCUGGCUGAGUGCCGGGGCCCUGGGAGGGGAGCUUAUGUAGAAGGCCUCGGAAGUGGAGCCCCCGCCAAACCCCCACUGGGGAGCGGACGGGCGGCCCCGCGGCUGGAGGUGAGCGCUGCUCAGAGCCUCUCCUCCUGGAACAAAGGCGGAGAGGAAGGAGCCAGGGCAGGGCCGCGCUGGGGCGGGAGAGACCCGGCGGGCUUGGCGGCUCUCGUGGCCUCUCUCGGCCUUCCACGCGCGACCUGAAACGGAAUAUCCGACCCCGCCGCCACGGAGGCCGCCAGCGAGUCCUGUGCUUCCCUCGCUCC
This 1119-nucleotide long non-coding RNA is filed under the name Heterocephalus glaber (naked mole-rat). RNAcentral's name for it is "lncRNA (ENSHGLG00100052377.1)". Lineage: Eukaryota; Metazoa; Chordata; Mammalia; Rodentia; Bathyergidae. The record is from RNAcentral.